CCAGGACUCGCCACACCGCAGAGGAAGAUGAAGGUCGCGGUGCUCAGCCUGGCCCUGCUCUUCACCGUCCUGCUGUGCGUGCCAGAAGAUGCUCAGGCACUCCCGGAAGGAUGUGGAGAUGUUAGCCUGGCACUCCCGGAAGGAAGUGAAGAAGUUAACCUGAGGGAUCCUCUGACCGAGGAGCAGAUAAGACUUCUUCUGCGCCAGAAACGCGUGCCUGUAGCUGCUGAUGUCCAGUUCCUCAAGUGAUGGUGACAGCCCUGUCCUGUCCCCCUCCAGCGGCAUGAGGAGAUGAUCAUCCCUGGAUGACCCCACCUGAUCCCCUGGGAGCCCUGGGCCAUUUCCCUCUCACGAUCAAUAAACCCCUUCAGCAAAGCUA
Long non-coding RNA from Aquila chrysaetos chrysaetos, 379 nucleotides. RefSeq lists it as uncharacterized. Lineage: Eukaryota; Metazoa; Chordata; Aves; Accipitriformes; Accipitridae. The transcript has 5 exons. The record is from RefSeq and is a predicted model, not a curated record.